UUAUCCAAAGAGAUGACAUUGAAACUUCCUCCAAUAUCCAAAAUCUGGAAAUUGGUUUGAUUCUGCAUCAAAUAUAAAAUUACCGCCCAAGUUUAGCAUGCUUACUGAGCUUUCUUUUCCUCUGCAAUUCCUCUAUUUUCUUUCCUACCAAACAAACCACAGCAGCAGCUUUUGUACUUGUCAAAAUGGUUUCUUCUUCAGCUUUAGCCUUCUCCUCUAUUAGUUAUGAUGUUUUCCUUAGUUUUAGAGGUAUUGAUACUCGUCCAAAUUUUACUAGUCAUCUUCAUGCUGCUUUGUGCCGUAAACAUAUUACAACAUUCAUAGACGAUAAUCUUGAGAGAGGAGUAAGCAUCUCGCCGACGCUUUUGAAAGCUAUUGAAGAAUCCAAGAUUUCAGUUGUAAUUUUCUCAGAAAAUUAUGCGUCCUCUAGGUGGUGCCUAGAUGAACUGGUGAAGAUAAUUAACUGCAAGAAAACAAUGGGGCGAACAGUUUUACCCAUUUUCUACCAUGUAGAUCCUUCUGAUGUUAGAAAACAGACUGGAAAAUUUGGAGAAGCCUUUGAGAAAGUAAAAGAAAAAGUUGACCACAGCUUAGACAUUGUGGGAAAUUGGAGUACUGCUUUGAUCGAUGCAGCCAAUCUAUCUGGAUGGGAUUCUUGCAACUACAGGUCUGAAUCGAAAUUAAUUGACAAAGUUGUCAACCAAAUCACGAAGAAACUGUAUCCCGUGUCCUUUAGUGCUUGUGAUGAUUUAGUUGGGAUUGAUGCUCACAUCAACUUAAUUGAGUCAUUAUUAUGUAUUGAGAAGGCAGAUGUUCGUUUUAUCGGAAUUUGGGGAAUGCCUGGCAUAGGAAAGACUACCAUUGCUGAAGCUCUUUUUAGUCGAAUAUCUGAUCAAUUUGAUGCUUGCUACUUUCAAAGCAGCAUUAGGGAAAAUGCAGAAAAGCAUGAGUUAUUGCAUUUACGUAAAAAUAUUUUUUCCAAACUUGUAGGGGAUGAAGAUUUGAGCAUACAAAUGCUCCAUGUACUUCCCACUAUUGUUCUGGAUACACUUAGAAGAAAAAAAGUUUUCAUUAUUCUAGAUGAUGUCAGUGAUUCAGAGCAUUUAGAGGCUUUAGCUGGAGAUCAUGGUUGGUUUGGUUCAGGAAGUAGAGUUCUAGUCACAAGCAGAGACAAAAAAGUACUUCUUGGUGGAGUUGAUCAAAUAUAUAAGGUUGAGGGAUUAAAUUAUUGGGAUGCUCUUCAGUUGUUGAGUGUGAAAGCCUUUAAACAAGAGCAUCCUCCAAAGGAGCUUAUACAGUUGGCAAAAAUGGUGGUAAACUAUGCUAAAGGUGUUCCAUUAGCCCUUAAAGUUUUGGGUUCACAUCUAUACAAAAGAUCUCCAGAGGAAUGGGAAAGUGUAGUGAAAAACCUAAAAAAAUUCCCUCACUCCAAAAUUCAGAAAAUAUUACAAAUAAGUUAUGAAACUCUAGAACAGACAGAAAAGGCUAUAUUUCUUGAUGUUGCUUGCUUUUUCAAAGGCUAUGAUAAAGAUUGGGUAGAAGAUCUACUAGAUGGAUGUGAUCUUUCUCCAAGUUUGGGAAUAAUUCGUUUAGUGGAAAAGUGCCUCAUAAUUAUUGUGAAUAAUAAGUUAGAAAUGCAUGAUUUGAUACAAGAAAUGGGUCAACAUAUUGCUCGGCAUACAGGUAGCAGAUUAUGGAAUUUCACAGAAAUUUGUGAUAUCUUGACAACUAAAAAGGUGAACAAGGCAGUCGAAGGGAUAUUCUUGGAUAUGUCUAAACUUGGAAAGACACGAUUGAAUCCUGCAAACUUCUCACGGAUGCCUAACUUAAGAUUACUCAAAUGUUUUAGGUCUUCAAAUAAAGUGUCUAGCUUCAUGCUUAAAAAGAAUCAUCUGCAGCACCUUCCUAACAAGUUGAGUUUACUACAUUGGGAGGAAUAUCCUUGCAGGUCUAUGCCUCCAUAUUUUUUUAUGGAGAAUCUUGUUUUACUCAAUUUGGAAGAUAGUAAGGUUGAAAGACUUUGGAAUGGAGAUAAGUGUCCUAAAAAAUUAAAGUCUCUCUGUCUUUCUGGAUGCAAGAAACUAACCAAACUCCCAAAUCUCUCUUCGGCUACAAACUUAGAGCAGAUGGAUCUUAAGGGUUGUAUGAGUUUGCUCGAGAUUCCCUCUUCUAUUCAGUUCCUCUACAAACUUGCUUGUCUCAAUCUUUGUGGGUGCAAGAAGCUAAGGAGUCUUCCGAGUCUCCUUCAGUUGAAAAAUCUGAAGAGUCUUGAUCUGUCCUACUGCAUAAAUUUGAAGAUAAUUUCAGAAAUUCCAAGUUGUAUUGAAGAGUUGACGCUAAUAGAAUGUGGAAUGGAAGAAUGGUCUGCAUCUAUUCAAUCUCUGGACAACCUUAAAAACCUGCCUCUCGGUAUGUGCAAAAACCUUAGAACGCUUCCAAGUAGUUUUCAUUUGAACUGUAAAAUUAGGGAACUUGAUUGCUUCAGAUGCUCAAAUCUAAACAAGUUCCCUAAUGUUACUGGAAAUCUGAAAAAAAUAGUGUUAGAAGAGACUGCAAUUGAAGACUUACCCUCAACUGUUGGAGGACUCUCUUCACUUAUUGAGUUACAACUGGGGAAUUGCAAUAGGCUACAAAGUCUCCCAGACAGCAUUUGUGAGUUGAAAUGCCUUGAAAGGCUUCUUCUCUGGGGCUGCUCAAAACUUGGCAGAUUGCCUCCUUUAUAUGGUUUGUGGUCUUUGACAGAUUUAUACCUAGAUGAUAGUGCAGUUUCAGAAAUCCCAGGUGAUAUUGUUUCUUUAUCAUCUCUAAGAUUAUUGAGUUUAAACAACUGCACAAGACUCCGAUUUUUACCAGAGCUUCCAGAGAGAGCAAGAGUGCUCCAAGCAUUUAAUUGCACAUCGCUAAAAACUGCCAAAUUGCCUUUGUCCUUCGCACUCGUACAAAAUCCCAAUGAAUGAAAGUGGGGAAAUAGAUAUCUAUUCAAUUAUUGCAACUGUGUAAAUUUGGAGCAUACUACAGUUGGCAACAUUUUGGCAAAUGCGCGACUAAGAAUUGAAGAACUAGCUACUUCUAGGAAUAUCUCUGGUUUUCGAGAACUUAGUGGUGGUCUUCUUGUUGGUUUACCUGGACGUGAAAUUCCAGAAUGGUUCAGCUUUGAAAAUCCAGGAUCUUCACUGGCUAUUGUGCUUCCUCCCUGCUGCGUUAAUGCUCUCUACAUAAGUUUCGC
Manihot esculenta (cassava) is the source of this 3226-nucleotide RNA transcript. It is a transcript of the gene named disease resistance protein RPV1-like, with no coding region annotated. The transcript is spliced from 5 exons. NCBI's taxonomy places the organism in Eukaryota, Viridiplantae, Streptophyta, Magnoliopsida, Malpighiales, Euphorbiaceae. The record is from RefSeq and is a predicted model, not a curated record.